AUCGCUAGUAAUCGCAGAUCAGAAUGCUGCGGUGAAUACGUUCCCGGGUCUUGUACACACCGCCCGUCACACCAUGGGAGUUGACAACGCCCGAAGUCAGUGACCUAACCGAAAGGAAGGAGCUGCCGAAGGCGGGGUUGAUAACUGGGGGUGAAGUCGUAACAAGGUAAC
RNAcentral lists this ribosomal RNA (171 nucleotides) under uncultured bacterium. RNAcentral describes it as "partial 16S ribosomal RNA". It matches the Rfam family "Bacterial small subunit ribosomal RNA", at positions 1331 to 1500 of the family's 1533-position model. The record is from RNAcentral.